RNAcentral lists this ribosomal RNA (572 nucleotides) under uncultured bacterium. RNAcentral describes it as "partial 16S ribosomal RNA". It matches the Rfam family "Bacterial small subunit ribosomal RNA", at positions 355 to 918 of the family's 1533-position model. The record is from RNAcentral.
UGGGGAAUUUUGGACAAUGGGCGAAAGCCUGAUCCAGCAAUGCCGCGUGUGUGAAGAAGGCCUUCGGGUUGUAAAGCACUUUUGUCCGGAAAGAAAUCCUCUGGGUUAAUACCUCGGGGGGAUUACGGUACCGGAAGAAUAAGCACCGGCUAACUACGUGCCAGCAGCCGCGGUAAUACGUAGGGUGCAAGCGUUAAUCGGAAUUACUGGGCGUAAAGCGUGCGCAGGCGGUUUUGUAAGACGGAUGUGAAAUCCCCGGGCUUAACCUGGGAACUGCAUUCGUGACUGCAAGGCUAGAGUAUGGCAGAGGGGGUAGAAUUCCACGUGUAGCAGUGAAAUGCGUAGAGAUGUGGAGGAAUACCGAUGGCGAAGGCAGCCCCCUGGGCCAAAUACUGACGCUCAUGCACGAAAGCGUGGGGAGCAAAACAGGAUUAGAUACCCUGGUAGUCCACGCCCUAAAACGAUGUCAACUAGUUGUUGGGGAUUCAUUUCCUUAGUAACGUAGCUAACGCGUGAAGUUGACCGCCUGGGGAGUACGGUCGCAAGAUUAAAACUCAAAUGAAUUGACGGGG